This is a long non-coding RNA of Manis javanica (Malayan pangolin), 2324 nucleotides long. RefSeq lists it as uncharacterized. NCBI's taxonomy places the organism in Eukaryota, Metazoa, Chordata, Mammalia, Pholidota, Manidae. The record is from RefSeq and is a predicted model, not a curated record.
GAGGGGAGGCGGGGAAUUGGGAGGUAGGGGGUUUCUUCUGAGGGUGACAGAAAUAUUCUGGAAUUAGGUAGUGGUAAUGGUUGUGCUGCUCUGUGAAUAUACUAAAAAUCACCAAAUUGUACAUUCUGAAAAUUUUUAAUGUGACUUUUAUGUGAUGUGAAUUUAUCUCAUUAAAAAACCAUAGUACCAGCAGUUACAGGUUUUAUCAAAGGGACGUGUCCUCUCCUUCUCUGAGUGCAGACGUGGUGGGAGGAAUUGUUUUGGAUGUGUGGAUGAAGGCAACUCACAAGGAGAGAGAAGACAGAAGCUUUGUGUCUGAUGCCACAUGGUUAACCAAGUGAUCCUGGGCAGCAUCUCCCUACGUAUCAGCUUUUAUUAAUGACAGUGGCUCCUGACCCUUCAGGAACGAGGAGUGAGAAGGAACAAAGAGAAGCCAAAAAAGAGGAGGCCAACAUUUCAAAAAGGAAGAAUAAAAUAAAAUUAUUCCCCUUGAAGUAGAUGUUAGUUAUAACUGAAAAUAUCUUUCCUCUGGCCAGCUAUUUCAUUCUUGUCACCAUCCAAACAGCCAACCAAAUCUUUCAAGGGAGCUUCAAAGAUUUUUCCCUUUCACAGAUAUGGUUCUGCGCAUUCUGGAUAUGCGCCACCACACAAGUGAGCCUACAGACUGUACACAUGGCAUGCUCCCUGUAACUCCAGGCUUCUCUGUCAGUAGUGAAAUCACUUAGAUUAUCAUCAAAUGCACAGGACAUCAACUACCUUAAGUAGGAAUGAUCCGAAGUGUCAUCUGCAUUCUAAAAAUCAUUUCACCCGGCAGAAGGUGCCUAAUGCCUUUGAACCCCUAGAUCUGCUGUCCCCCCAGGAUAAGCUACCCAGGAAGACACUCAAAGCCAAAGACAAAGAGGUUUUUUAGGAUGAAAAGUCUGGGAAGGAAACGGAGUGGAAGAAUGGCUGGGCAACUAGGCCAGCAAAUGAGGCCCUGGGUGCUUCAAGGGCACGGGGCACUUCAGAAAGAAGGAAGAACUUCCACAGUUACUCUUGAAUGUCACUGAAAUGUGAUUUUAACAUUUAUUUCAACUUUUCUCAGUCUCAAAAAAAAAGGCUUUCAAAACAUCUUUAAAUAUAUAUAGUUAGGAAACAGUUGUUUGAUACUGAAAUGAAGGACAGUUACUGAAGUAUUUACAUACUUGAUACAUGCUCAUUUUCAUACCGCCUAAAGGCAGACAUAGCACUUCAAACAAACAGUCUGGAGGAAAUCUGAAUGAGGUGAAUGAGUUAUUUAUUGCACUUUGUAUUUUCAUCACUGGAAAAUAUUCAACUCAUUCAAAUGACUCUGUCUUUCACAAUCCCUUAUCAGUGAUAAAAUUUGUCUCUCAAGGAGUAUGUUGUCUAUAUAUUUUUCUUUUCUGGUGAUAGAAAUUAUCCAAGUUAGAACAAAAGUUUGAAUCUAGUUACACCGUGAUAAGUCUAUGUCAUUUUCAGAUGGGUAGAUAUGACAGGUGGACAUAAGAGUCUAGUGUAGCCAGCUCUUGAGCAAGCCUUUAUUUCCUGACAAGUUUUUUUGCAUUUUGUCUUGAGUGGCACAAAUUUUAGAAUAAAGCACCUCACUAACAGCAUCACUUUUUUACUUACUUGACUACAUAUGAUUUGUUUAAAGAAUCACAAGACUGAGAAAUUUGUAGAAUUAUCAAAGCAAUAUGUUCCAAGAUGCAGGAAAUGGUAAAGUAAUAAUGUAGUUCAAAAGCUAGGAAAAUAUAUUAAAAUAUAUAUAAUAUAAGGUUAACUUGGUCAAUUCAUGAUACAAUCUGUAAAAUGGAAAUAUUUGGUCAAUUUAUUAUUUUGCAGAAUAUUUCUUUUGGCAAUGGGAUUCCUUUACAACUUUUAGCUCCAUUAGAUGAGACUAGCUGGAGGUCUUUAAUUAUUUUUGACUGAAUCUUGCAGUUUCUACUUUGUGAUUUCUCCUCAAGUUAUAAAGCAUUAAUGAUCAUUACAAGCACUAUUUCACAAACCACAAAUUAAAGUUCUAUAGCAUUUAAAAUGCCUAAGUGGCUCCAUUUUCAAUUACACAGCAACUAUCUCAAACAGUAUUACAUGAGAUGCUUCUAAGUAAAAUCACAAUGGAAACAAGGUAAAAAUUGUAUGAUACCAGUGUGCCGGAUAGCAUGUGCUGACCACCAGAUAUUUCCAUGGAAAUCAGUCUUUAAGUUUCCCAAUAUUGGAUUAAGUCCCGUUGUUUUUAAAAUAAUCUUUCAGAACCAAUGAGUUGUUAAAAGUGGGCACAUAUUCCCCAGAAAUUAGAAAGGUUACCUUAGGUAAUUUCAAUGAAA